AGAAACACUUGUUCUCCUAUGAUCACCGAAGUUAAGCAACGUCGAGCCUGGUCAGUACCUAGAUGGGUGUCUGCUUGGGAACACCGGGUGCUGUAG
Non-coding RNA from Acanthosepion pharaonis, 96 nucleotides. The record is from the annotation of a GenBank genome assembly. NCBI's taxonomy places the organism in Eukaryota, Metazoa, Mollusca, Cephalopoda, Sepiida, Sepiidae.